RNAcentral lists this ribosomal RNA (475 nucleotides) under uncultured bacterium. Its description in RNAcentral is "SSU rRNA". It matches the Rfam family "Bacterial small subunit ribosomal RNA", at positions 26 to 518 of the family's 1533-position model. The record is from RNAcentral.
AGGACGAACGCUGGCGGCGUGCUUAACACAUGCAAGUCGAGCGGAAAGGCCCUUCGGGGUACUCGAGCGGCGAACGGGUGAGUAACACGUGAGCAACCUGCCCUUAGCUUCGGGAUAGCUCCGGGAAACCGGAAUUAAUACCGAAUAUGACUUUGGCUGACAUCAGCAGAAGUGGAAAGUUUUUCGGCUAGGGAUGGACUCGCGGCCUAUCAGCUAGUUGGUGAGGUAACGGCCCACCAAGGCGACGACGGGUAGCCGGCCUGAGAGGGCGACCGGCCACACUGGGACUGAGACACGGCCCAGACUCCUACGGGAGGCAGCAGUGGGGAAUAUUGCGCAAUGGGCGAAAGCCUGACGCAGCGACGCCGCGUGGGGGAUGAAUGCCUUCGGGUUCGUAAACCCCUUUCAGCAGGGACGAAGCGAAAGUGACGGUACCUGCAGAAGAAGCGCCGGCUAACUACGCGCCAGCAGCCGC